GAGAAGAACGCAGCGAAAUGCGAUAAGUAAUGUGAAUUGCAGAAUUCCGUGAAUCAUCGAAUCUUUGAACGCACAUUGCGCCCCCUGGCAUUCCGGGGGGCAUGCCUGUCCGAGCGUCAUUUCUGCCCUCCAGCCCGGCUGGGUGUUGGGCGCUGUCCCCCCGGGGACACGCCCCAAAGGCAGUGGCGGCGCCGCGUCGGGUCCUCGAGCGUAUGGGGCUUUGUCACCCGCUCGGGACGGACUCGUCGGCGCUGGUCUUCCUCCAGGCGACCCUUCGGGGCUCGUCUUCCUUCGGUUGACCUCGGAUCAGGUAGGGUUACCCGCUGAACUUAAGCAUAUCAAUAAGCGGAGGA
RNAcentral lists this unclassified non-coding RNA (353 nucleotides) under soil metagenome. RNAcentral's name for it is "partial contains 5.8S ribosomal RNA, internal transcribed spacer 2, and large subunit ribosomal RNA". The stretch from base 3 to 119 matches the Rfam family "5.8S ribosomal RNA", at positions 38 to 154 of the family's 154-position model. The record is from RNAcentral.